GACAACUUGGAACAGCUUGUGUGUGCCUCUCAGAUUCCUACAGAAGAAAGGAUACCUUUUCUUUUUUAUUGGAUGGACAACAACAUAACCACAACAAUAGAUCUAUCAGUUCUGCGCCGGUUGGACGGCGUUCAGGCGCAACCCCGGCACCCACUGAGUACUGCCUCUGCUACAACCUCCCUCGGUGAGCUCCAUCUUCCUCCCGCUUCUCUGCUUCGGCUACUGUAUGGGGCAUGGCCGUGGCUAUGUUAUGUGGUGCUCGUCUGGUUGAUGCUCUAUGUCCUACUCAUGCAUCAGUUCCUACUUGAGCUCUGUAGUUGUGGAUCCAUGCUAUUCUAGGGUUUGCAUGCUGCUGUUCAUGUUUACUUGCUAUCAUAGGAGCUCAUGUGCUUCUCUGGUUUACAUGUGGAUGCCCUGGUGAAGGAAAUAUGCUCUAGAGGCAAUAAUAAAGUUAUUAUUUAUUUCCUCA
Long non-coding RNA from Triticum dicoccoides, 469 nucleotides. RefSeq lists it as uncharacterized. NCBI's taxonomy places the organism in Eukaryota, Viridiplantae, Streptophyta, Magnoliopsida, Poales, Poaceae. The record is from RefSeq and is a predicted model, not a curated record. The transcript is spliced from 2 exons.